This is a long non-coding RNA of Dendronephthya gigantea, 1233 nucleotides long. RefSeq lists it as uncharacterized. The transcript has 3 exons. The record is from RefSeq and is a predicted model, not a curated record. Lineage: Eukaryota; Metazoa; Cnidaria; Anthozoa; Malacalcyonacea; Nephtheidae.
UCCCGACUUUUUAAUUUUCAGUCUUUAGGAGACAUGUUUUGAGCAAUAUCACAUCCUCGUCCCCAGGGCCUAGCUCCGUUGCUCUCCACAUAGGCCCAGGGAUACGCUGGUUGAUCCCUUCAUCCUGAUUGGCUCUUUUACACUAAAAGAAUGUUGCGGGCGAUAAUUUUAUUGCGGUCGACAACAAACAUGGCGGCUGGUAAAGAGCGGGCCUUUUACAUGCUCUUUAGAAUCCAAUGUAUAAAACAGUAAACUGGGGUAUAAAAGCGCAAGACGAAUCACAUUUAUUUAAAAGACAUACAUAGGAACUAGAACAAGUCGUAUGUUAUUCAUUUUGAACCUAAAAGAAAGAAAUCACUUGGUUAAACAUGCCAUAAAACAGCUAUCGAAGUCAACGCCAAAUGAUUUCAUUGAUUGGAUUGAUUUAGGCGGUGAAAUCGCCAAUCAACGCUAAAAUUUUUACUAGUCCGACAAGCUGAUCGUCUCAACAACUGCUAAAUACAACACAUUUAUUGUCAUUGACAAUAUUUAUUACCAUUUACGACGCUCUUGGUCCAUUACAGAAAAUAUUUUUGUUCAUAUCUAUAUGAAACGACGUUUUUUAAAACUAUAUUUCUAAACUUCUAUAUAUGGGUCCUACUAAUAACCGACAACAACCGACAACCAGCUAAAAAAUACUGACAGAAAGCUUAUAAUCAUCGAUAAGACUCUAAUAUUGUGUUUCUUCGAGGACCGCUGCCUUAGAGGACUGCCUGAGAUGACUGCUUAAGAUGACUGCCCGAGAUGACUGCCUGAGAUGACUGCCCGAGAUGACUGUCAAUUUACAUCCUGUGGACAAGUGCUGCAAGGCCAACGCCAUACAGAAUAUGGAGUCCUAAUCAUUUUGUUCUAUUAUUGCUAGCCAAGGAACUGCCAACGAUGACCUUCUCGGAGCAGAACAAAAGCUAUUCGGAGGCAUGUCAUUUAGUGUUUAUCAGUUAACUGGACUUUGUGAGAGUUUUCUUGCAAAAUGUUUGCCAAGGUGGCGAUCGAAGGUGGACAGCAAGAUCGAAGCUCAACAAGAUAGAAGAUUGUUCGAGGAAGAAGGAGUUCGCCGUUGACUAAAAGGUUUAUCUGAACAGCUAGUUGUCAAGAUGAAGGUGAAGACUCGCCCGGCCAAAUUCAAAAUGGCGAUGCCAAAGAAAACCAUCCACGUGGACCGUUCGCCGACCUUUCUGAGCAAGAUUGUUGUGC